This 269-nucleotide ribosomal RNA is filed under the name uncultured bacterium. Its description in RNAcentral is "partial 16S ribosomal RNA". It matches the Rfam family "Bacterial small subunit ribosomal RNA", at positions 793 to 1055 of the family's 1533-position model. The record is from RNAcentral.
GUCCACGCCGUAAACGAUGAUAACUAGGUGUUGGGAGAUUUGACCCUUUCAGCGCCGCAGCUAACGCAUUAAGUUAUCCGCCUGGGGAGUACGGUCGCAAGACUAAAACUCAAAGGAAUUGACGGGGGCCCGCACAAGCGGUGGAGUAUGUGGUUCAAUUCGACGCAACGCGAAGAACCUUACCUGGGUUAGAAAUCAACUAGAAGCCCUGUAGAGAUAUGGGGCGUCCCCGCAAGGGGACUGGUUGACAGGUGCUGCAUGGCUGUCGU